Molecule: ribosomal RNA, 523 nt
Filed under: uncultured bacterium
Lineage: Bacteria
Description: partial 16S ribosomal RNA
Rfam family: Bacterial small subunit ribosomal RNA
Source: RNAcentral
GACGAACGCUGGCGGCGUGCCUAAUACAUGCAAGUCGAACGCUUUUUCUUUCACCGGAGCUUGCUCCACCGAAAGAAAAAGAGUGGCGAACGGGUGAGUAACACGUGGGUAACCUGCCCAUCAGAAGGGGAUAACACUUGGAAACAGGUGCUAAUACCGUAUAACACUAUUUUCCGCAUGGAAGAAAGUUGAAAGGCGCUUUUGCGUCACUGAUGGAUGGACCCGCGGUGCAUUAGCUAGUUGGUGAGGUAACGGCUCACCAAGGCAACGAUGCAUAGUCGACCUGGGAGGGUGAUCGGCCACACUGGGACUGAGACCCGGCCCAGACUCCUACGGGAGGCAGCAGUAGGGAAUCUUCGGCAAUGGACGAAAGUCUGACCGAGCAACGCCGCGUGAGUGAAGAAGGUUUUCGGAUCGUAAAACUCUGUUGUUAGAGAAGAACAAGGAUGAGAGUAAAAUGUUCAUCCCUUGACGGUAUCUAACCAGAAAGCCACGGCUAACUACGUGCCAGCAGCCGCGGUAA